AUAACAAUAGUAAUAGUCAAACUUCAAUAUUUUUUAACAUUUUUACUAGUAGUUCUACUAUGGUUAUAUUUCCAGAAGUCCUUGUAGGUUGAGUAAUGCUGAAUCAAAACCCUACAGAAACCUACAGUUGAGGCCAAAAUUAUGGAUUAUGGAACAUUUUGUAAUUCUUCCCAAUGUUUGCAGCAUUGAUAAAACUUGAUAUAAUCAAACAUUCACCAGUGCUAUUUAGUAGCUUUUGGUACAUUUUGGAUUAGAAAAUACAUUUUUAGGCUUGCUUUAUAUCAAAUAAAGUGAAAAAUGGGGUGGUCAUUAAUAUAACCCCGCCAUGUGAAUUUUUGCUUUCAAAACACACCUAAUUAACCAAUCAGCUUUCAAACCACACCUGUGCAGUCAGUUGGCUUCCUAACAACACCUGAGCAUUCAAUCAGCAUAAAAGGACUCCAAGGAACAGGGCACUUGAACACAUUAUUGAGAGGGACUGUUUUUACUCACCAUGCCAAAGACAAAUAAAAGGAAAUCAGUCUUGAGCUCAGAAAGAAGAUAGUGGAGGCUCAUGAUAAUGGGGAAGGCUAUACUUCCAUUUCCAAGCGUUUCACAGUGUCUAGUACCGCUGUACGUUGCAUCAUUGCCAAGUACAAGGAAACAAAUGCAAGAAAACAACCUGGCCGUGGUCGUAAGCGCAAGAUUUCAAGAACUUUACAGAGGAAAAUAGUCAGAUGUCAGCAAGAAGCCCCACACAUCUGCCAAGAUGAUUGUUGCUGACCUAGCCUCUUCUGGAGUUGAUCUUUCAAGGACCACAGUUUUGAAGGCUCUCCAUCGUGGUGGGCUUCAGGGCCAUCGUCCCAGGAGAACCCCUUUACUCAAAGAGCGGCACAUCAAAGCCAGACUGAGGUUUGCCCGUGAACAUUUGAAAGGUACACUCUAACAGUAUGGACGGGCCAGGAUGAUACGUUAAUACUUCAGGACUUACUGCCCUACAGAAAAGAAUUUGACAUCAGUAGGAUCUACUAUGACCUGUCAGACUCCAUCAGGACAGAGCUCAGUCUGACAUGGCAAGACAAAAACUAAGUCUGACUAAAUAUUAGGAUUGUUUCGCUGCAGCAGGCCAAAUCCCUGAAGUGAAGAGGAAAGUGGAUAAUUUCUCUGCCAACACUUUAAUGUGGUUUAUCUUGCAUGGUCUGAUACCAUAAUAUGCUAGUGAAGUGGGUCCUAAUCUGGGCUGGGGACCACCCAGGGGAUAGCAAAACAAACCUUCAAAUUGUUUGUUAAGAUAAAUGAGAUAUAAAAGAAUGAACGUGUUUGUACAUCUGUAGAAAUAUUUUGUUAUAAUUUAUGACAUUUGCAUUUUAGUUUAGACCUGUAGUGAGAUAUACUUCUUCUGGGCUUUCCAGUUUGAAAAUGUAAAAUGAAGUCUGGUGGCGUUGCAGAGACCAUAAUUGUAGGUAUUUUAUGUUAAUAAAUUACAACAUGUUCCCUGUU
Eleginops maclovinus (Patagonian blennie) is the source of this 1479-nucleotide long non-coding RNA. RefSeq lists it as uncharacterized. The transcript has 2 exons. The record is from RefSeq and is a predicted model, not a curated record. NCBI's taxonomy places the organism in Eukaryota, Metazoa, Chordata, Actinopteri, Perciformes, Eleginopidae.